This 274-nucleotide ribosomal RNA is filed under the name uncultured bacterium. RNAcentral describes it as "partial 16S ribosomal RNA". It matches the Rfam family "Bacterial small subunit ribosomal RNA", at positions 523 to 796 of the family's 1533-position model. The record is from RNAcentral.
AUACGGAGGGUGCGAGCGUUAAUCGGAAUUACUGGGCGUAAAGCGCGCGUAGGCGGCUAAGUAAGUCGGAUGUGAAAGCCCUGGGCUCAACCUGGGAAUUGCAUUCGAUACUGCUUGGCUAGAGUAUGGUAGAGGGUAGUGGAAUUCCUGGUGUAGCGGUGAAAUGCGUAGAUAUCAGGAGGAACAUCAGUGGCGAAGGCGGCUACCUGGACCAAUACUGACGCUAAGGUGCGAAAGCGUGGGGAGCAAACAGGAUUAGAUACCCCGGUAGUCC